UGAGCUAUAAAAUAGGGCCGCAUCAUGUUGCCAAGCAGUUGCUUAUCUUCUCACCACUUAGCAUCAUAAUAUGAGAUAUUCUUCAACCCCUAUUUUCUAUGCGAUUUUGAUAGUUUUUCAACAAGAUAGCUUGGUGCUUUUUCUUUUAUUUCAGUUGGAAGAUUAAUAGACCUAAUGACAAGUUAAAUGGAUGAACAUGAUUAUAGUGACAUAUAAAAGCCAUAGUUACAAGUAUAUAAUCAUGAAGACCAAGCAAAAUUACUUUUAACUUUAUUGAACUUCAAUGGCAGAGAAAAAGUUUAUAUAUAAACUUAGAACCAUUACAGACCUCCUUCAUCACAUCUUGAAAGUUAUAGUGGAGAAGUAUUUGAAGACAGUGAACAAGAUUUCACACAAAUAUCUCCAAUGUAUGUUCUUAAAAUUUUACACAUUUUUUAAAUAUUUUCCAACUUUCCAUAUACUGUAUCCUGAUUAUUUAUUCUAUUAACAUUGAAUACUAUAUAAUUUUAACUAUAGUUGUAGGAAUCUGUGUAAGGCUUCUGUAUCACCAAAUAUCUAGGUUUCGUUACACUAUAUUUAUACACAUAUACAACUAUAUUUAUAAAUUACAAUUGUAAAGAAUAUUCUUAAAUUUGGAGUCGGUAAGUAUAAACAAUUAAAAAUGCAAUAAAAAAAUGACAUCUCACUAAUUUUAUACAAU
RNAcentral lists this unclassified non-coding RNA (700 nucleotides) under Hevea brasiliensis (rubber tree). Lineage: Eukaryota; Viridiplantae; Streptophyta; Magnoliopsida; Malpighiales; Euphorbiaceae. The record is from RNAcentral.